GCGGGGGGGCCUGCAGGGAAUGAUGGAAACAUGACAGAACUUGCCCCAGGAGGCAGACCGCCUGAGUGUCAUGCUUGCUUUUUCAGCACACUGUGGAAGUAGCGUGUGUGCGUGCAUGCACAGACAUGUACGUGUGUAUGUGCAUGGGUGAGCACAUGUGUGCGUGUGUGUAUGUGGGAAUUGCUGUGUAAACGUAUGCAUGUGGGUACGAACGUGUGUGGCUGUGUACGUGUGGGCAGGUGUGUGUGUGUGUGUGUGUGUGUGUGUGUGUGUGUGUGUGUGUGUGUGUGUGUGUGUGUGUGUGUGUGUGUGUGUGUGUGUGUGUGUGUGUGUGUGUGUGUGUGUGUGUGUAGGGCAGGCCAGCAAUACCCAGUAAGCAGGUUGGAGUCAGUAUGGGCUGAGUGGUCAGACCGAGGUCCCUUGGAGAGGGGUUUAUGGCAGGUCACUGGGAACUGUCCAUGCUCAGCAGUCACCUCCCCUCACAUUCCCAGAUGUGAAUGUGUAACAGCCCCCGAGACCUAGACACACACUGAGCCUCCCAGACCGCAGCCCACUGGGGCAUCCACACAGCACAGACCCAGGACAGCAUCAGUUGGACCAAAUUGCCCCUCCCCCAGCUGGAGCCGCCUCAGGUCUCGAUCUCCAGGCUCGACCACCUCGGAGGCACAGACUCCUCCCUCACCAGUAUGCGGGCCUCUCACUGUUGUGGCCUCUCCCGUUGCGGAGCACAGGUUCCGAACGUGCAGGCUCAGUGGCCAUGGCUCACGGGCCCAGCCGCUCCGCGGCAUGUGGGAUCCUCCCAGACUGGGGCACGAACCCGUGUCCCCUGCAUUGACAGGCGGACUCUCAACCACUGCGCCACCAGGGAAGCACCUCCAUCUAACAUUUUUUUGGACAACUAUUUACUCAGCAUCAGUCCAUCCCAUGUAAUUGCAUGCCAGGCACUGAGCAAGCCCAGAGGAAUGGUGACCUGCAAAAUGGACCAGCUCCCCAGGGCUGGGGAGAGUUGGGGUGUAUGGGGCAUAGCCACUGAUGGGUAUGGGCUUACUUUGAGGGGAUGAAAAGUCAAUCCUCGUUAUUUGCAGACUCUGUGUUUCCAAAUUCACCCACAUGAUAAAACUUAUUUGUAACCCCCAAAUCGACACCUACUUUCCUGGUCAUUCUCAGACACGCAAACAACGGUGAAAAAAAUUGAGUUGCCAGACGUGCCCAUCCCCAGCUGAGGCUUAACUAGGUGAGGCUUGGCCCCAGAGACUCCGAGAACAUGGAAACAGUAGGGGGCAGUGCAGAGUAAAGCAAGAAACCCAGUGGGAAUUAACUUCACUCUGGAAUUAGAUUAUGGUGAUGGUUACACAAUUCUGUGAAUGUAAUAAAAAAAAAAAACUAGUGAAUUACACCCUUCAAAACUGUACACUUUUUGAUGUGUGAGUGAUGUCUCAAUAAAGAUGUUAUUUAAAAAGUA
Long non-coding RNA from Lagenorhynchus albirostris (white-beaked dolphin), 1462 nucleotides. RefSeq lists it as uncharacterized. NCBI's taxonomy places the organism in Eukaryota, Metazoa, Chordata, Mammalia, Artiodactyla, Delphinidae. The record is from RefSeq and is a predicted model, not a curated record. The transcript has 2 exons.